Struthio camelus australis is the source of this 3300-nucleotide long non-coding RNA. RefSeq lists it as uncharacterized. Lineage: Eukaryota; Metazoa; Chordata; Aves; Struthioniformes; Struthionidae. The record is from RefSeq and is a predicted model, not a curated record.
GCCAAAGGCCAUGCUGUUGGAAAAGCAGCAGCACUUUCUGCAGCAGGAUAAAAUACUGUUGUCAGUAACCUAUCAGGAGAGAAGUAAGGGAGAUGUGCUGGAUUGUGAAACUCUGACACCAGCUUUGGGUGUUAUCUUGGUGUAAUUUGUGGAAACGUACAGCUAUAAUAAAACAUGCCAGGAAAGAGGUUUACAUCCAAAUGAAUACAAGAACAAAUGCAGAAGCCACGUGACAGAAGACUUGAAGAUGACUAGGAGAGGAGGGAUACUGUGCCUUCAGCCUGGACUGGCUUCCGCUGCAUUGGCAGUGAAAGAGGAGAUGAAAGAAAUGAGGCAGUUCGAGUUUGCUCCCUUUUCCCAGUUCUCCCUGUUUGUAUUGAGCGUUACAUUGCUCCCACAUGCUGUGGGAACUUCUCAGGUGGGUAGGUUAAGGAAGGUGAACUGGAACAUGUGCUUGCUCCAGAGCAGCACUGUCAGAAAUGGACAGUUUUUCAUUUUUUGAUUAAAUUCUCAGAGGGAGGAAUUGCCGUUUACUGUCAGGAAAAAAGUGAGAGUUGAUAAAUUUGGGAGGAUGGUACUACCACAAAAGUUAAAAUUCUUUAAUUCAGACUUACCAAAACCAUGGAAACAUUUGGAGUUUGGCUUUUUGGUUUUCAAGAAAAGCUAAGGUUUACAAAGAAAGGAGACUCUUUUUCAUACCUUGUCAUCACAAAAGCUUUGAAAAAAAAGUUUAUUCAUACCUGUGCAUGGUGUUGUCAUGCUCACCUGACCAAACAUCAGACUCAAAGGCUAGCGGUAAUUUUGCCCCACGUUGGACUGGCAAGGGUUAUUGUCUGUACAGUGCAUUGAGGGACAGGUUUUUUUCUUGUUUUCCUCUAUCACGUGGGGUGCCAUCCAUCUGACUGUGAAGAUGUGACCUACUGAACUCCCUGCUAUUGCAGGCAUCUCAGAUACCAGCAGUGUUCUUAGUGUCUGUCUGGCUCUCUCCUGGUGGUUCCUGGUAGUUUCUAAGAUUUUGGUUUUAAGUGGUUGAUAGGAUGCUGGAGAGCAGCUUAGCGCUGUAGAAGAAAGAGGAAUAGCUAUGGAUGAUCUAAGCCACUCCUGUCCAAUCUGCAAUUGCAAUUAUCCCUCUUCAGUGUUCCUGAAGGGUUUUUGCAGAAAACAGCAGUAAACGUUCCUGGUAAGUGGCAAAUCUAUCUGCAGAGAGGACAAAAACAAUGUCAAGAGCAACUCGAUGUUUCUUCUUUGUUCCCAGCUCCCUGCACUGAGGCUGAACUCCGCAUGGAUAGGGUAUCCGCACAGUGCCCCUGUUCCUGAGGUGGGAUUGCAGAAGAUUAUUCCCUUCAGAAUCACAUCUCCAUCCCAGUGAUGCUCAGGCAGCAUUUGGAGGUCGUGAGGGAGACCAGAUUUAAAUGGCACUUGAGUCCUGUGUAGGAUUCAUUAUCAGCCCUGUUAUGAAAAAUAACCUUCAGCUGUUGUGCACUGGACUUGGGAAGGGAAGAGUCAAGAGUCAGGAUGGUCGUGAGGAGUCUGGUGAGCCAUACCACGUGAUGGAUCUGCAGCACUUUACAGGACCUGCUCUGAGUGAACUCAGGAUCGGUGUUUUGAUAGAUGUCGUCUCUCAAGAGCGUGCUUCAAUUGCUGAGCAGGUCUGUAAAAGGGGAUUGGAAAUGCUGAAGCAGUGCCUAAAGCUCCUAAGCAGGGAUGAGCUGUGCAUUUGCUAUUGGCUAAAUCAAGGGACUUCCUGCUUGGCAUGUGGGGUCUUUGGAUUACUCUUCUGAGAUGCCAAAACGGCUUAACUCAAGAUCAAAGUCAGAGUCUUUUAAGACACAGCACUGCUGUGUCUCAACAGGAGCAGGUACUUUUCUUUAGGAAGUGUUUCACUCUUAAUCACGUAAAAGUCAUUUUCUAAAUCUGUUAUUAAUUUAGCCAGCCACAGUUAACAUGAAAAAUCUGAAAGGGGUCUUGGAAAGAGCAAAUUUGUCAAUAUUAAGUCUAUAAGGGCAGGAUAGAGUCUCCACGGGUGGAAGUCCUCCACCUCUCCAGUGCCCUGUCCCAGGGCAGCACCAACUCCCAGGAAAAAGGUUUUCUCAGGACACAGUUUUGCCUCAAAGUUUAUGGAAGUUGGAAUGGUUUGAAUCCCAUUCCCCGCCCCUCAUCACCAAUUACAUUAUUACCCAGUGUUUUAUGUUUGCAUGGAUGGGCUUCCACGUAGAAAAAGGGCUAUUUAUUAUCAAAGGCAGGGUCUUGAUAUGCUGAUGAUUCUUAAAGAGGUAAUUUAAUUUUCUCUGCCUCUUUGACUUUGUGAUCUCUCUUGCAAUACUAUUUUCAUGCAGAGAUUUGUUUCUAAUUAAAGACACUGUACCUGUUUUUGUCUAUUUCAUAUAACUUUUGCCUGGGGAAAUGCGAGCUGAAGAAAGCUUUGUCCUUUAUUAAAAGGAACACCGAAAAAGAGAAAAAAAAUCUCAUAAAAUUGCUGUCUUAAUUACCAGCACAAUAGGCAUUUGAAUAGUCAUCUUAGACAGAUUAUAAAGCAUAAUUAUUUCCUCACAGAUCAUGUUUCCUCCCAGUGUAGUAACGCAUGGCAGGCUGUUUGGCAUUUCGUUAGCUUUCAGGGUAGCGUUUUGAGAGGAAAGCUCAAAGUCUUCAUCAACUUUUUUUCCCCCCUUUUUCUUUUAAAACAGUUUGCAUGCACUGAGGGCUUCAGGAGGAGCGGCGUAACAUUUGGGUCGCGUUUCGGGGAGCACAGAUGAGGAAGAAGUCCACUGUCGUAUUUAGGAACUGGAGCUGGCAUGGGAAUGGCUGUGCAAACUCACACGCGUUUCUGUAACACAGAUCGUAGCGCAGAAAGCACGUUUUUUCUAGGAAAGAGAAAGAUGGGAGUGAGAGGACACUGCACGAAGCUAGCAGGAGCAAGGCUUAAAAUUGCCAGAAGGAGGUGGUUCCGGGGGAUCAGGUGGUUAAGCGGUGUGGUGGCACCCCUAGAAUUCAGUGGGUAUACCUGAUGUCUCUUGGCCUGACACGCGGCAAGUGGCACCUGUCCAUCAAAGAACAUUCAAGAACAUGCCAGAAUCAUCCUGGACCUGCCAGAGCCACCAGGUAAUAGUAUGACCACACCCUCAUUUCGAUCACAGCUAUAAGUAACCCGCCGUGGGCUUCCGAACCUCGAGAUCGCCUCAUCGGAUGCAGCCGGUCUGAUGAAGUCACGGACGCUGCCCGAGGAAUUCCCGCUGGGAUUUAAAUCUCCGCAUGGUUGUGUGAGUGUUUGGUGCACCUACUGGGCGGUUAUUGUCCAGGCUA